AUGGCACUCCAGGAGUUUCAGAUUAACCCACCAAGCCAGAAGUUUGACCAGUUUAACUGGGUUAUGAUCUGGGCUUCUGCUGUCCCGGUACACCAUAUUAUUCAUAUGUUGGAAGUUGAUUUCUUCACCAAGUGGCAGCUGGUUUUGUACCAUUGGUUGAGCUCGCCAAAUCCUGAUUUCAAUGAGAUAAUGAAUUGGUACAAGGGUUGGAGGGGCCUUUUCCCACCAGAGUUACUUGCCAAUGAACGCAUACGGAUGCUUCUAACGGUUGGUCUUGAGAUGAUGAACCAAGAUGCUGAAGGACAUGAGUUGGUGCAUCCAGGAGCUAGGGAGAAUGUUGGCUUAUUGACAGAGAAGCAGCAAUAUGAUGCAACACAACAAGCAUCGCAGUACCCACCUUACCAUGUUGUACCAGGAGCAGCCAUGGGAGAUAUGAGCUUCAAGGAUUCUAUUCAGGCACAUGCGGCUGACCAAGGUUUGUUGUUUAUGCCUAGAGUUAACAAAUUCUAUAACGGCAGGCCAGUGUACGAAUUUGGCACCGUGAGCAUUUGCGUAGACUUUGUCAAGCGACCACUCUAUACGCAACUUCAAGAGGGAACUGGAAGAGUUCUAUGUCUCUUACACCACUACUGGAAAUGA
This 639-nucleotide ribosomal RNA is filed under the name Triticum aestivum (bread wheat). RNAcentral's name for it is "partial small subunit ribosomal RNA". The record is from RNAcentral. Lineage: Eukaryota; Viridiplantae; Streptophyta; Magnoliopsida; Poales; Poaceae.